RNAcentral lists this ribosomal RNA (498 nucleotides) under uncultured bacterium. Its description in RNAcentral is "partial 16S ribosomal RNA". It matches the Rfam family "Bacterial small subunit ribosomal RNA", at positions 28 to 508 of the family's 1533-position model. The record is from RNAcentral.
GAUGAACGCUGGCGGCGUGCCUAAUACAUGCAAGUCGAGCGAACAGACGAGGAGCUUGCUCCUCUGACGUUAGCGGCGGACGGGUGAGUAACACGUGGAUAACCUACCUAUAAGACUGGGAUAACUUCGGGAAACCUGAGCUAAUACCGUAUAAUAUAUUGAACCGCAUUGUUCAAUAGUGAAAGACGGUUUUGCUGUCACUUAUAGAUGGCUCCGCGCCGGAUUAGCUAGUUGGUAAGGUAACGGCUUACCAAGGCGACGAUGCGUAGCCGACCUGAGAGGGUGAUCGGCCACACUGGGACGGAGACACGGUCCAGACUCCUACGGGAGGCAGCAGUAGGGAAUCUUCCGCAAUGGGCGAAAGCCUGACGGAGCAACGCCGCGUGAGUGAUGAAGGUCUUCGGAUCGUAAAGCUCUGUUAUUAGGGAAGAACAAAUGUGUAAGUAAAAAGGCACGUCUGGACCGUACCUAAUCAGAAAGCCACGGCUAACCUCGUGC